Molecule: long non-coding RNA, 1269 nt
Organism: Gadus macrocephalus (Pacific cod)
Lineage: Eukaryota; Metazoa; Chordata; Actinopteri; Gadiformes; Gadidae
Exons: 2
Source: RefSeq, a predicted model, not a curated record
GAGAGUGGAGGUAGAGAGUGAGGUAGUGAGUGGAGGCAGUGAGUGGAGGCAGUGAGUGGAGGUAGAGAGUGAGGCAGGGAGUGGAGGCAGAGAGUGAGGUAGGGAGUGGAGGCAGAGAGUGAUGUAGGGAGUGAGGUAGGGAGUGGAAGCAGAGAGUGAGGUAGUGAGUGGAGGCAGAGAGUGAGGUAGUGAGUGGAGGCAGAGAGUGAUGUAGGGAGUAGAGGCAGAGAGUGAGGCAGUGAGUGGAGGCAGAGAGUGAUGUAGGGAGUGAGGUAGGGAGUGGAAGCAGAGAGUGAGGUAGGGAGUGGAAGCAGAGAGUGAGGUAGGGAGUGGAGGCAGAGAUUUAGAGAGAGGAGGAAUAGAGCAGAGGUAGUAAGUUGAGACAGAAAGUGGAGGUAGAGAGUGAAGAAGAGAGGGAAGUAGUGAGUGCAGGAAGAGAGUGAGGUAGUAAGUGGAGGCAGAGAGUGAAGUAGAGCGAGAGGGGGGUAGAGAGUGGAGGCAGAGAGUGAGGUAUGACCCCGUGCCCUCUGUCCUCCAGAGGCUGCUGCCCCCAUGCCUACUAAUGGGCUCAAUCCAGCUGGGGCCCUGGCAGGUCAUCUCACUCACACCGACACACUCACAACCUCGCGCACACACACACAAACACACAGGUCUGCCCCAUAGACUGCUAAUGCGUUAAGGACCAACCUUCCCGACCACACACACACACACGCACGCACGCACGCACGCACGCACGCACGCACGCACGCACGCACGCACGCACGCGCGCGUCUCCCUUAUCACUCUACCUCAGCCCUGUAUUUAUUCCCUGGCAUCCUCUGCAACAAAGCUGCCAGUUUAGACCCUUUAUAUUUAGACAGAUAGAAAAGUGCCUCAGAAUAAGUGGUCCACACGAGAGAAACAUCUGUUUUGUUUGAAAUUACCAAUACACGGUUCGACCCCCCCCCACUCCCAAUGCCGCUCUGCUAAUCUUGUAUCCUUUUGGUGGGGGAGUUGUUGCUUUUUUCUGGAAAAAUAACACAUUUCCAUAAAGUAUUUUCUUUUCCAACCGAGUCAUACUUUUUGAAAAUAUCCCUCCAGGCUCUUCUUGCCAAACCCCAGCUUUCUUCAAUGAGCCUCAACAUUUAACAUUCAAAGUAUAAACACACACACACACACACACACACACACACACACACACACACACACACACACACACACACACACACACACACACACACACACACACACACACACACACACACACACACACACACACACACACACGCG